UUUCGUCUCUCCUGUCAGGGGGCGGGGCUUGAGUUGAGCUCGGAUCAGUCGUGCGCGUAUCCGAGGAGCGACAAUCAGACUGGCUGCCUCUACUUCUUCUCUCCUUCUUCUCCUCACACUCGACCCAAGAGAUCAUGUCCCGUUACGACCCACAGGGUACAAUCAUGGAUGAAAUGGACUUUGAGCGGCGCCGGGAGCUGAGGAGGCAAAAGCGGGAGGAGAUGCGCCUGGAGGCUGAACGGUUGUCAAGGAACGACGAUGACGAGGAGGAGGCGGCCCGCGAGCGGAGGCGCCGGGCCCGCCAGGAGAGGCUGAGGGCCCGGGAGAUGGAAGACUCCAGCCCCCAGACCGACAGUCUGGUCGUGACCAACUGCCACAGCGUGCCAGAAAGCAUCUCGGUGAGCAGCUCUUUCGGAGGCGGCGGCGAGGACGAGGACCAAGCGCUGCUGGAGCGCAUGGCCCGGCGCGAAGAGCGCAGGCAGCGUCGCCUGAAGGAGGCGCUGGAGCAGCAGAGUCAGCCGAACGAGACGGAGGGCCGCGACGGCGACGGCGGCGAGAGGAGCAAAACGACGCAGGAGGACGAGGAGGAGGAGCAAAGGUCCUCCUUCUCCUGGCGUCGGGAGAAGACGUACAGCUCGUGGAGAGAGGAGAAGGAGCCUGAGGCGGCCGGAGAAGAAGAAGAAGAGGAGGAGGCGGCUCCCGAGGUGGAGAAAGUGAUGGAGGCGGAGCCGAGGAGAUUUUACUCCAGGGAAGAGUUUGACGAGAGAGGUCCGAGCAGGGAGGAGCAGAGGAAGCAGAACGGAGGCCUUCAUGAGGAGGAGGAGGAGCAGGCAGUGGUGGAGGAGGAGGAGGAGGCCACUCCAACACAGUACAGGAAAUCUGAGAGGACGCCCAGCCGAGGCGGCGCGCGUUCCCCCGAGGAGUUGGCCGACCAGGGGCCGGAUGACGACGACGACGAGGUCGUCCGCCUGGAGGCCGAACGCAAGCUGGAGGAGCUGAAGCGCCGCCGCGAAGACGCCGAGAGCGAGGAGUUUGAGCGCAUGCGGCAGAAGCAGCAGGAGUCCGAGGCCCAGCUGGAGGAGCUGAAGAGGAAGAGGGAGGAGAGGAGGAGGGUGGUGGAGGAACAGGAGAGCCAGAGGAAGCAGGAGGAGGCUGAGAGGAAAGCCAGAGACGAGGAGGAGAAGAGGAAGAUGAAGGAGGAGAUUGAGAGGAGGAGGGCGGAGGCGGCCGAAAAGAGGCAAAAGGUGGAGGAACCGGUGGAGGGCGACGAAAAACCCUUCAAGUGCGUCAGUCCUCGCGGCUCCUCCCUCAAGAUUGGAGAGCGUGCCGAGUUUCUCAACAAGUCGGCCCAGAGAAGCGCAGUAAAGAUGUCCCCUUGCCCUGUGGUGUCCAAGAUCGACAACCGACUGGAGCAGUACACCUCGGCCGCUCAGCGAGAGAACAAGGAGUCGCGAUCCCCUCGCUCGGGCGCCGUGGAUCUCCCGGCGGUGACGGACAGCAUACGCAACAUCAAGAGCAUGUGGGAGAAAGGCAACGUGUUCAGCUCGCCAGGAAGCAGCGGCAGCGCCUUUAAGGAAGCAGCUGUAAUAAAAACGGGCGUGGCGGGCCGCAUCAACGAAUGGAUGAAUAAAACCCCCGAGAGCGGCAAGGCGUCGGGAGGAAGGCCAUCGGACCUGAAACCUGUGGACGUGACCAACAAGAGGAGUUUAUGGGAAAACAAAGGCUCCUCUCCGGCCAAGAACUCUUCAUAGCUAGUUGAUGUACUCGCUACAAUAUGGAAAAAGCCUCCCGAGGCGUCGGGAAGAGGCGAGACCAAAUCAGUCACCAAUGGUAUGGGUCACUAAUGUCCAGAAGGAGCCACGACAAUCCAAGACUUUGGCUUGACGACCAAAAGAAGAAAAAAAAAUGGCCACCAUCCCAAAGAGGGACCCAGAAAGAAAAAAAAAAAAAGAUGUCUCAGCAUUGUACACAAACAUCACGUAUUUUGUUUUGGGUUUUUUUUUUCUUUUUUUUUGGGGGGGGGGUUUGGUUUGUUUUUCUUGUACGGUGGCCACUUAGGUGCCUUUGCACGUUUUAUAUUUGCGUUCUAAAAAGAAACCAAAAUGCUGUGAAAAUUGGAUAUUAUGACCAUGAAAUCUUCAAAAAGUAAUUGCAGUGAAGUUGAAAGAGUAGAUUCAUGCCAAGCUUUCCCAGGGUGACAUCGCUUCAACUCGUAAAGUUCCAUUCCAUCUCUCUUUAAUUUAUAUUUCAAGCAAAGAAGCUUCACGCUUUUUUUUUUUUCAUUCCAACCACUUUUGGGACAGAAAUAUAAGCACUUGUAGAAUUUAGCUCAAGUCACAUUUAUUAUGUCUUAACAAUAGCACAGCAACGGUCUGGGUAAUGUAUGUUAACUCAUCAUAUGGUCAUCAUACAGUGUCGUAUCUUAACAUUCUUUGUACUCACAACAAAAAACUAUUUUGCUUUUUUUUUUUGUAUUCAUGAACAUUCCACCAACAGGCAGUGUUGACUAUACAAAAAGGCCAUUAUGACUUUUUAUUAUCCUCUUAUUUAUGUUUGUUUUAUUUGUAGCUUCAGACAUUCCUCUUUAAAGCAGGUGCACGUGAUGCCUUCAGACUUUUAUAUGAAUAUAUAUAAAUGUAGGGGGGGGGGGGACGGCAAAGCAGCCAUUUUACCUUUAAUGACUUAAAAACAAUGUUAUUGCUUUUAUGCACGCUCAAGUAGAAAUCAGGGUGCCUCCCGCUAGUCCAAGGACGAGCCACUAUGUACUUUAUCAGGCCUUAUGAUUACAAUGAGAAGCUUAACGACCACGCAGGAAGGAAGUGUUUAUGUUCAGAAGAUUUUGAAUGAGGAUUUCUCAGUCUUAAAUCAGCUUCCAUUGAUUUCCGUUCCUGCUCCAACGUCAGACAAUCACAUUCCACGGCCUCGGAAAAGAGCAGGAGAGGCUCGACCAAAACAUUUUCUAUUGUAUGAAUGUGUUUCAAUGCAUUUUUUUUUUGUUUGUUUUAUACCUUUUGUCAAUGUUUCUUUUUAUGUUCUUGUUUAACCAGAAACUUUUGUGUUUAAGCGACGCAACACACCACACAUUGUCAUAUGUUAGUCUCUGUGAAGAACAUUCCCAAUGCCAUGCACGCUUCCAAGUGGUUGCAUGUUUUCAAAGCAUUGUACCACUGACGCAACAACGGAAUAAAGGCAUUGUGAUUUGA
Molecule: RNA transcript, 3203 nt
Organism: Hippocampus zosterae (dwarf seahorse)
Lineage: Eukaryota; Metazoa; Chordata; Actinopteri; Syngnathiformes; Syngnathidae
Gene: cald1a
Gene name: caldesmon 1a
Exons: 15
Source: RefSeq, a predicted model, not a curated record